CCUACGGGAGGCAGCAGUGGGGAAUAUUGCACAAUGGGGGAAACCCUGAUGCAGCGACGCCGCGUGGGUGAAGAAGCGCCUCGGCGCGUAAAGCCCUGUCAGCAGGGAAGAAAAUGACGGUACCUGAAGAAGAAGCCCCGGCUAACUACGUGCCAGCAGCCGCGGUAAUACGUAGGGGGCAAGCGUUAUCCGGAUUUACUGGGUGUAAAGGGGGCGCAGACGGCGAUGCAAGCCAGGAGUGAAAGCCCGGGGCCCAACCCCGGGACUGCACUUGGAACUGCGUGGCUAGAGUGCAGUAGGGGCAGGCGGAAUUCCUGGUGUAGCGGUGAAAUGCGUAGAUAUCAGGAGGAACACCGGUGGCGAAGGCGGCCUGCUGGACUGCAACUGACGUUGAGGCCCGAAAGCGUGGGGAGCAAACAGGAUUAGAUACCCCAGUAGUC
This 440-nucleotide ribosomal RNA is filed under the name uncultured bacterium. RNAcentral describes it as "partial 16S ribosomal RNA". It matches the Rfam family "Bacterial small subunit ribosomal RNA", at positions 338 to 795 of the family's 1533-position model. The record is from RNAcentral.